This 71-nucleotide transfer RNA is filed under the name bacterium. RNAcentral's name for it is "tRNA-Met". It matches the Rfam family "tRNA". From Rfam's summary of the family: Transfer RNA (tRNA) molecules are approximately 80 nucleotides in length. Their secondary structure includes four short double-helical elements and three loops (D, anti-codon, and T loops). Further hydrogen bonds mediate the characteristic L-shaped molecular structure. tRNAs have two regions of fundamental functional importance: the anti-codon, which is responsible for specific mRNA codon recognition, and the 3' end, to which the tRNAs corresponding amino acid is attached (by aminoacyl-tRNA synthetases). tRNAs cope with the degeneracy of the genetic code in two manners: having more than one tRNA (with a specific anti-codon) for a particular amino acid; and 'wobble' base-pairing, i.e. permitting non-standard base-pairing at the 3rd anti-codon position. The record is from RNAcentral.
UGCGGGGUGGAGAAGUAGUAUCUUGCGUGGCUCAUAACCACGAGGCGUGGGUGCAAUUCCCGCCCCCGCAA